RNAcentral lists this ribosomal RNA (384 nucleotides) under uncultured bacterium. Its description in RNAcentral is "bacterial SSU rRNA". It matches the Rfam family "Bacterial small subunit ribosomal RNA", at positions 30 to 416 of the family's 1533-position model. The record is from RNAcentral.
AUUGAACGCUGGCGGCAUGCCUUACACAUGCAAGUCGAACGGUAACGGGCCUUCGGGUGCCGACGAGUGGCGAACGGGUGAGUAAUGCAUCGGAACGUACCUUUCAGUGGGGGAUAACGUAGCGAAAGUUACGCUAAUACCGCAUAUUCUGUGAGCAGGAAAGCAGGGGAUCGCAAGACCUUGCGCUGAUUGAGCGGCCGAUGUCAGAUUAGCUAGUUGGUGAGGUAAAGGCUCACCAAGGCGACGAUCUGUAGCGGGUCUGAGAGGAUGAUCCGCCACACUGGAACUGAGACACGGUCCAGACUCCUACGGGAGGCAGCAGUGGGGAAUUUUGGACAAUGGGGGCAAGCCUGAUCCAGCCAUGCCGCGUGAGUGAAGAAGGCC